This 211-nucleotide non-coding RNA is filed under the name Tritonibacter multivorans. The record is from RNAcentral. Lineage: Bacteria; Pseudomonadati; Pseudomonadota; Alphaproteobacteria; Rhodobacterales; Paracoccaceae.
UGUUCAUUCGAUACAGAUGGUCCCAAACGCCUAAGGCCGCUGGGAGAAAUAGGGAACACGGUGCGGUGUAGCCAAAAGGCGCCAACCCCGUGACUGCCCCCGCAACUGUGAGCGGAGAGCGCCCCCGAAAGAUCCACUGGGCUGUGCCUGGGAAGGACGGGGAGGGCUGUGACCCGCAAGUCAGGAGACCUGCCAUCGCUAUACGAACUGA